This 388-nucleotide ribosomal RNA is filed under the name uncultured bacterium. RNAcentral describes it as "bacterial SSU rRNA". It matches the Rfam family "Bacterial small subunit ribosomal RNA", at positions 28 to 417 of the family's 1533-position model. The record is from RNAcentral.
GACGAACGCUGGCGGCGUGCUUAACACAUGCAAGUCGAGCGGUAAGGCCCUUUCGGGGGUACACGAGCGGCGAACGGGUGAGUAACACGUGGGUGACCUGCCCUCAGCUCUGGGAUAAGCCUGGGAAACUGGGUCUAAUACUGGAUAUGACUCCACGGUGCAUGUCGUGGGGUGGAAAGCCUUGUGCGGCUGAGGAUGGGCCCGCGGCCUAUCAGCUUGUUGGUGGGGUGANGGCCUACCAAGGCGACGACGGGUAGCCGGCCUGAGAGGGCGACCGGCCACACUGGGACUGAGACGCGGCCCAGACUCCUACGGGAGGCAGCAGUGGGGAAUCUUGCGCAAUGGGCGAAAGCCUGACGCAGCGACGCCGCGUGAGGGAUGACGGCCU